GGGCUUGUGGCGGAAUUGGCAGACGCGCUAGAUUCAGGUUCUAGUGAGCAUUAGCUCGUGGAGGUUCGACUCCUCUCAGGCCCA
Molecule: transfer RNA, 84 nt
Filed under: Planctomycetales bacterium
Lineage: Bacteria; Pseudomonadati; Planctomycetota; Planctomycetia; Planctomycetales
Description: tRNA-Leu
Rfam family: tRNA
About the family: Transfer RNA (tRNA) molecules are approximately 80 nucleotides in length. Their secondary structure includes four short double-helical elements and three loops (D, anti-codon, and T loops).
Source: RNAcentral